Molecule: ribosomal RNA, 433 nt
Filed under: uncultured bacterium
Lineage: Bacteria
Description: bacterial SSU rRNA
Rfam family: Bacterial small subunit ribosomal RNA
Source: RNAcentral
AACGAACGCUGGCGGCAGGCCUAACACAUGCAAGUCGAACGAACCCUUCGGGGUGAGUGGCGCACGGGUGCGUAACACGUGGGAAUCUACACUUUGGUAAGGAAUAACACAGAGAAAUUUGUGCUAAUACCUUAUAAUGACUCCGGUCCAAAGAUUUAUCGCCAAAGGAUGAGCCCGCGCUAGAUUAGUUUGUUGGUGAGGUAAAAGCUCACCAAGACUACGAUCUAUAGCUGGUCUUAGAGGAUGAUCAGCCACACUGGAACUGAGACACGGUCCAGACUCCUACGGGAGGCAGCAGUGAGGAAUAUUGCGCAAUGGAGGAAACUCUGACGCAGCCAUGCCGCGUGAAUGAAGAAGGCCUUAGGGUUGUAAAAUUCUUUCAGAUGCGAAGAUAAUGACGGUAACAUCAGAAGAAGCUCCGGCUAAAUUCGUG